RNAcentral lists this unclassified non-coding RNA (87 nucleotides) under Pseudomonas libanensis. Lineage: Bacteria; Pseudomonadati; Pseudomonadota; Gammaproteobacteria; Pseudomonadales; Pseudomonadaceae. The record is from RNAcentral.
GUGGGAGCUGGCUUGCCUGCGAUAGCGGUGUGCCAGUCAGCCGUUCAGUGACUGAUACACCGCUAUCGCAGGCAAGCCAGCUCCCAC